GUUUCUGUAGUGCAGUGGUUAGCACGGUCGCCUCCUACGCGACAGACUCGGGUUCAAUCCCCGACUGAUACU
This 72-nucleotide transfer RNA is filed under the name Penaeus vannamei (Pacific white shrimp). RNAcentral's name for it is "Litopenaeus vannamei (Pacific white shrimp) tRNA". It matches the Rfam family "tRNA". Rfam says of the family: Transfer RNA (tRNA) molecules are approximately 80 nucleotides in length. Their secondary structure includes four short double-helical elements and three loops (D, anti-codon, and T loops). Lineage: Eukaryota; Metazoa; Arthropoda; Malacostraca; Decapoda; Penaeidae. The record is from Rfam by way of RNAcentral.